RNAcentral lists this ribosomal RNA (497 nucleotides) under uncultured bacterium. RNAcentral describes it as "partial 16S ribosomal RNA". It matches the Rfam family "Bacterial small subunit ribosomal RNA", at positions 28 to 507 of the family's 1533-position model. The record is from RNAcentral.
GAUGAACGCUGGCGGCGUGCCUAAUACAUGCAAGUCGAGCGAACAGACGAGGAGCUUGCUCCUUUGACGUUAGCGGCGGACGGGUGAGUAACACGUGGAUAACCUACCUAUAAGACUGGGAUAACUUCGGGAAACCGGAGCUAAUACCGGAUAACAUGUUGAACCGCAUGGUUCAACAGUGAAAGACGGUCUUGCUGUCACUUAUAGAUGGAUCCGCGCCGCAUUAGCUAGUUGGUAAGGUAACGGCUUACCAAGGCAACGAUGCGUAGCCGACCUGAGAGGGUGAUCGGCCACACUGGAACUGAGACACGGUCCAGACUCCUACGGGAGGCAGCAGUAGGGAAUCUUCCGCAAUGGGCGAAAGCCUGACGGAGCAACGCCGCGUGAGUGAAGAAGGUCUUCGGAUCGUAAAACCCUGUUAUUAGGGAAGAACAAAUGUGUAAGUAACUAUGCACGUCUUGACGGUACCUAAUCAGAAAGCCACGGCUAACUACGUG